GUAACUGGUCACUCACGAGAGAGCAUCAGGGCAUCGGCGUGAGACGCCAACGAGGACCAUCCAGGUCUCACUUCCCGGAGCGCGAGCCAGGUGGAUGCAUGCUUGCUGCGAAAGAAUCGCCUUUCACCUCGUCUCUUGCUGUCUUCUGGGUUUAUUCGUCUCAAUUCCAGCGUCCUUCCGCGAUCCAUCCUGGUCGCAUGUCACGCGCAUAACAGCAGCCAACAGUAGUCAUGGCGGAGAUGAUGGAAGUGAUCAAGAAAGAGCAGGAAGAAGAUGGUACGGCUCAGCGCCAGGGCCUGGAAGAGGGAGGCGCCAAGAAGAUCGGCGGCGGCGGCCACGAGGAGGAGCCGUCCCCGUCCGGGAAGGUGAAGAAGAAGGCGAGGAAGCAGGGCGUCUCCGACCCACAACGGAAGCGUGCCUGCGUGGACUGCACGAGGCGAUGCUCCCGAGUUCACGGCCGCGCCGCCGCUUCCUCCUCCGGCAAGGCUCCCCCGGCCCCGGCCGCCGCCCUGACGUCCUUCUUCAAGGUCAUGACGGGCUCCUUCUCCGAAAAACUGGACGUACCGCCCCGAUUUGCCAAGAACAUCCCGGAGCUGGCGGACACCAACGUCUACCUCGAAGACGCCUUCGGGCUCCGCUGGCGGGUGUACCUGUGCGCGCGCGACGGCCGCCUGUCCUUCGGGCACGGAUGGAGGAACUUUGUGCUGGACCACACCGUCGCCGUCGGCGAGUUCCUGGUGUUCCGGCACAUCUCCAGGUCAGUCUUCGCCGUCCAGAUCUUCGCUAAGUCCGCAUGUGAAAGGCUGCAUCUGUGCGAGAAGAACAAGAGGCAGAGCAAGAAGAGGAAGAAGCCCGGGGAGAAGGCGAGCUCCGACGGCGAUCGCACGGCGAAAGCAAGCAAGAAGAGCAGCGAGGAUAAAGAUAAGAAAAGCAGUAAAAAGAAGCAGCGUGCUUGUGAUCUGUUAGAUGGUGAUCAGGAUAGAGCUCGCGGAGAUCAAGAUCAAGAUCAAGAUCACAUGGUGCUGAUAAGCACAGCAAACACUCAAGCUGCGAACUGUGGGGGCUCUGACUUUGGGACUUAUGCAGAACCGACAACACCUUUGGCCAUGAUGGAUCUCGACGAUGAGAUCACCGACGACAUAUUUCUGACAGCCGAUGCAUACGAAUUCGAAACUGAUCUCUGUAUUCCAGAAGAACCAGGAGCAUUUCCUGUGGACAAUGGUAUUGGUAUGGAAGCGCCCGUUACCCACGGCGAAACCUCCGGUUUCAGCUGCGCCGAGAUGAUCGGCUCUCGGAACUGUGACUCUUCCGUGGGAGUUGGCCUCUGUCAUGGAGAGAAAUCAGCAGGCCUGAAAAAUAAACAGAUGGCUGAUGCACGGGUAAUAACAAGCACAUAUACUAAUGCUCCAGUGCUUGACAUGGACAUGACGGCCUUGCCCAGCAACGCGUUGUCAGAAAUUAGAGAGGAAAAGCCCUCUCCUCGUAUUGAUGCAGCAGCGCCUUCCAGUGAGUGCGCAACCGGCAAUUGCAAGAAGGAUACAGAUUAUAAGUUGAUGGAGUUCCCUUCCGAGGGCAACCAGGUUGACACGAAAGAAGGCGAGUUCCUUUAAUACUUUUGCAGUCUUUCUCUUCGUAUAUUGUACGUAGUAUGUUUUUGAUAGACCAUGCAUAUUCAGCAAUUGUUCUAGUAGAAGAUUCGUCCGCGGAGCAAGACGAGGACCUGCAGAUUCAAGAAUGUACAGGAUGGGCUGCUGCAGAGAUUAUUUCUGGUGGCUCAAAGCCUGGUGAACGUGGCGAGCGCAGGCAAAAACGCCGUAUGCAACCUGCAGGGAACCAUGAGAGCGCGAGUCCGAGGCCAAGCAGCAGAAAGCUCCGCGUCGCGGCGCCCCCGGCUGACCAAACGUGGCUGGAGCUCCCUUGCCGGAUGCCGGUGCUGCCGGGGAGGAAGAAGCAGGGGCGGAAGGUGGUGGUGCUGGAGGACCCUGGCGGGCGGCACUGGCCGGCGCUCUACCUGUGCACCCCGACCUUCAGUGGCUUCGUGGCCGGGUGGGCCGACGUGCGCGCGGAGAACGGCCUGCGGGAGGGCGACGCCUGCGAGCUCGAGCUCCGCCGCGGCAGCUACUCCGAGCUGGCGCUCCGAGUGCUGGGCGCGCCCGGUUCUACUUCUCAGUAGCCGGCCACCGUUUGGCCUCGCAAACAUGUGCGUAGGUGACUGAUGACGGUGGUGACCAGGGAGUGGUCACAGUUGUAACCGUUGACUUCCUCUCGUCUUGGCACCGCUGAGGAGGGGAGGCUGUAAAUGUGCUGCGCAUCCGCAAGUAUUUUUCACCUCUCCUUCGGGUGGUUGUAAUGAAGAGUAUCAUGUGAUACUAACUUCGUAAUGUAUGGUAUCAUAAGUUAAUAUCUUAA
Molecule: RNA transcript, 2409 nt
Organism: Triticum aestivum (bread wheat)
Lineage: Eukaryota; Viridiplantae; Streptophyta; Magnoliopsida; Poales; Poaceae
Gene name: B3 domain-containing protein Os01g0905400-like
Exons: 4
Source: RefSeq, a predicted model, not a curated record